RNAcentral lists this ribosomal RNA (449 nucleotides) under uncultured bacterium. RNAcentral describes it as "bacterial SSU rRNA". It matches the Rfam family "Bacterial small subunit ribosomal RNA", at positions 331 to 793 of the family's 1533-position model. The record is from RNAcentral.
CCAGACUCCUACGGGAGGCAGCAGUGGGGAAUAUUGGGCAAUGGGCGCAAGCCUGACCCAGCAAUGCCGCGUGAAGGAAGAAGGCUUUCGGGUUGUAAACUUCUUUGACAGGGGAAGAGCAGAAGACGGUACCCUGAAAACAAGCCACGGCUAACUACGUGCCAGCAGCCGCGGUAAUACGUAGGGGGCAAGCGUUAUCCGGAUUUACUGGGUGUAAAGGGAGCGUAGACGGCAUUGCAAGUCCGGAGUGAAAGCCCACGGCCCAACCGUGGGACUGCUCUGGAAACUGUAGAGCUGGAGUGCGGGAGGGGCAGGCGGAAUUCCUAGUGUAGCGGUGAAAUGCGUAGAUAUUAGGAGGAACACCGGCGGCGAAGGCGGCCUGCUGGACCGUAACUGACGUUGAGGCUCGAAAGCGUGGGGAGCAAACAGGAUUAGAUACCCCGGUAAAG